RNAcentral lists this ribosomal RNA (192 nucleotides) under Enterobacter hormaechei. RNAcentral describes it as "partial 23S ribosomal RNA". It matches the Rfam family "Bacterial large subunit ribosomal RNA", at positions 2739 to 2925 of the family's 2925-position model. The record is from RNAcentral. RNAcentral also lists the same sequence under 2 other names. Lineage: Bacteria; Pseudomonadati; Pseudomonadota; Gammaproteobacteria; Enterobacterales; Enterobacteriaceae.
UGCCCGGUAGCUAAAUGCGGAAGAGAUAAGUGCUGAAAGCAUCUAAGCACGAAACUUGCCCCGAGAUGAGUUCUCCCUGAGACUUUAAGUCUCCUGAAGGAACGUUGAAGACGACGACGUUGAUAGGUCGGGUGUGUAAGCGCAGCGAUGCGUUGAGCUAACCGAUACUAAUGAACCGUGAGGCUUAACCUU